AUUAACGCUGGCGGCGUGCCUAAUCCAUGCAAGUCGAGCGAACAGACGAGGAGCUUGCUCCUCUGACGUUAGCGGCGGACGGGUGAGUAACACGUGGAUAACCUACCUAUAAGACUGGGAUAACUUCGGGAAACCGGAGCUAAUACCGGAUAAUAUAUUGAACCGUAUGGUUCAAUAGUGAAAGACGGUUUUGCUGUCACUUAUAGAUGGAUCCGCGCCGCAUUAGCUAGUUGGUAAGGUAACGGCUUACCAAGGCAACGAUGCGUAGCCGACCUGAGAGGGUGAUCGGCCACACUGGAACUGAGACACGGUCCAGACUCCUACGGGAGGCAGCAGUAGGGAAUCUUCCGCAAUGGGCGAAAGCCUGACGGAGCAACGCCGCGUGAGUGAUGAAGGUCUUCGGAUCGUAAAACUCUGUUAUUAGGGAAGAACAAAUGUGUAAGUAACUAUGCACGUCUUGACGGUACCUAAUCAGAAAGCCACGGCUAACUACGUG
This 496-nucleotide ribosomal RNA is filed under the name uncultured bacterium. Its description in RNAcentral is "partial 16S ribosomal RNA". It matches the Rfam family "Bacterial small subunit ribosomal RNA", at positions 29 to 507 of the family's 1533-position model. The record is from RNAcentral.